GCGGGUGUCGUAUAAUGGCAAUACCUCAGCUUUCCAAGCUGAAGCUAGGGGUUCGAUUCCCCUCACCCGCUCCA
Molecule: transfer RNA, 74 nt
Filed under: bacterium
Lineage: Bacteria
Description: tRNA-Gly
Rfam family: tRNA
About the family: Transfer RNA (tRNA) molecules are approximately 80 nucleotides in length. Their secondary structure includes four short double-helical elements and three loops (D, anti-codon, and T loops).
Source: RNAcentral